RNAcentral lists this ribosomal RNA (97 nucleotides) under Gossypium arboreum. Lineage: Eukaryota; Viridiplantae; Streptophyta; Magnoliopsida; Malvales; Malvaceae. The record is from RNAcentral.
AUGCACCGGAUCCCAUCAGAACUCCGCAGUUAAGCGUGCUUGGGCGAGAGUAGUACUAGGAUGGGUGACCUCCCUGGAAGUCCUCGUGUUGCACCCC